RNAcentral lists this ribosomal RNA (253 nucleotides) under uncultured bacterium. RNAcentral's name for it is "partial 16S ribosomal RNA". It matches the Rfam family "Bacterial small subunit ribosomal RNA", at positions 524 to 776 of the family's 1533-position model. The record is from RNAcentral.
CACGUAGGGCGCAAGCGUUGUCCGGAAUUAUUGGGCGUAAAGAGCUCGUAGGCGGUCUGUUGCGUCCGCUGUGAAAACCCGGGGCUUAACCCCUGGCUUGCAGUGGAUACGGACAGACUAGAGGUAGGUAGGGGAGAAUGGAAUUCCCGGUGUAGCGGUGAAAUGCGCAGAUAUCAGGAGGAACACCAAUGGCGAAGGCAGCUCGCUGGGACGGUACUGACGCUGAGACGCGAAAGCGUGGGGAGCAAACAGG